AAUAAAUGUAGCCAUGAAUUUUCGCGCCUAACUUUGAUCGUCCAUCUUAUUUGAAAAUUUUUUUAUAAUAAGUAUUUUUGUUGUUAUAAGAUGAUUACUUUACUCGUGACUUAUGUUUUAAAUUUUUCUAUUUUUUUUUCAAAUAAGACGAAUGGUCAAGUUGAGCGCGGAAAACCAUGGCUGCACUUAUU
Non-coding RNA from Oryza glumipatula, 191 nucleotides. NCBI's taxonomy places the organism in Eukaryota, Viridiplantae, Streptophyta, Magnoliopsida, Poales, Poaceae. The record is from Rfam.